GGGGAUGUAACUCCAUGGUAGAGUGCUUGCCUAGUAUGUAUGAGGCCCUGGGUUUAAUCCCAGGUAUCUCUC
This 72-nucleotide transfer RNA is filed under the name Urocitellus parryii (Arctic ground squirrel). RNAcentral's name for it is "Spermophilus parryii (Arctic ground squirrel) tRNA". It matches the Rfam family "tRNA". Rfam says of the family: Transfer RNA (tRNA) molecules are approximately 80 nucleotides in length. Their secondary structure includes four short double-helical elements and three loops (D, anti-codon, and T loops). Lineage: Eukaryota; Metazoa; Chordata; Mammalia; Rodentia; Sciuridae. The record is from Rfam by way of RNAcentral. RNAcentral also lists the same sequence under 1 other name.